CCUACGGGUGGCUGCAGUGAGGACUAUUGGUCAAUGGACGAGAGUCUGAACCAGCCAAGUAGCGUGAAGGAUGACUGCCCUAUGGGUUGUAAACUUCUGUUAUAUGGGAAUAAAAUGUUCCACGUGUGGGAUUUUGUAUGUACCAUAUGAAUAAGGCUCGGCUGACUCCGUGCCAGCAGCCGCGGUAAUCCGGAGGAUCCGAGCGUUAUCCGGCUUUAUUGGGUUUAAAGGGAGCGUAGGUGGAUUGUUAAGUCAGUUGUGAAAGUUUGCGGCGCAACCGUAAAAUUGAAGUUGAAACUGGCAUUCUUGAGCACAGUAGAGGGGGGCGGAAUUCGUGGUGUAGCGGUGAAAUGCUUAGAUAUCACGAAGAACUCCGAGUGCGAAGGCAGCUCACUGGACUGCAACUGACACUGAGGCUCGAAAGUGUGGGUAUCAAACAGGAUUAGAUACCCUAGUAGUC
RNAcentral lists this ribosomal RNA (460 nucleotides) under uncultured bacterium. Its description in RNAcentral is "partial 16S ribosomal RNA". It matches the Rfam family "Bacterial small subunit ribosomal RNA", at positions 338 to 795 of the family's 1533-position model. The record is from RNAcentral.